AGAAUAGGUUAAAUAUAAUUUAUUUUGGUUUUACCUUUUGCAUCAUGAUAUAAUGAUUAGUUAUUAAUAUUAAAAUUUACGAAAACAUUAGAUUUAAAUUUUAUAUUAUUGUUGGGUAAACAAUCAAAAAUAAAAUUUGGCAGUGAUAAAUUAGUCGUUAAUGUAGAUAACUUGUAAAUAAGAAGUAAAAUUAUAAAUUAACUGAGUUAAAAGAUUUAGUUAACGUUUAUAAAUUGUGUUUAGUGUAAAGUAUAUGGGUUUAAAAGUAUCUCUUAUUUUUGUGUUUUAUAACUAAAAUAUUAUUUUAUUAAUUUUUUAAAAUUCUUAUUAUAUUAAAUUAAAUGUGAAUUUUAAUGUUAUAAUUAGUAGUUAAAUAGUUAUUAGGUUUCUCGGCAUAAGUCGAAUUGUUUAUUAAAAACAUUGUCACUUAAAUAUAUAAGUGGUAAUACCUGCUCAAUGUAAAUUAAUAGCUGCAGUAUUUUGACUGUACUAAGGUAGCAUAAUUGCUUGUCCCUUAAAUAGGGAAUUGUUUGAAUGGUUUUUUUGAUUUAUAUGCUACUUAAUAAUUUUAAUGAAUUUAGUUUUUAAGUAAAGAACCUUAAAUUUAAAUAAAAGACGGAAAGACCCUAAGAGCUUAAAAUUAAAAUUUAUUUGGGGCAAAGCUUUUAAUUUAGAAAGAUUUUGGACCUGUGUGGUUUAUUGGAUAAGUUACCUUAGGGAUAACAGGGUUAAAAAUAAGGAGAGAUCAUAUCGAUUUAUUUAGUUGCUACCUCGAUGUUGACUUAGAAGAGCUGUAAGACGCAGUAGUUUUAUAAGUAGGCCUGUUCGGCCUUUAAAUUUCUUCAUGAGUUGAGUUAAGACCGGUGUAAGCCAGGUCGGUUCUUAUCUUUAAUUCAUAUAAUUUAGUACGAAAGGAUUAAUUAUGUUUUAAGUU
This 934-nucleotide ribosomal RNA is filed under the name Thaparocleidus asoti. RNAcentral's name for it is "16S ribosomal RNA". The stretch from base 610 to 891 matches the Rfam family "Bacterial large subunit ribosomal RNA", at positions 2074 to 2646 of the family's 2925-position model. The record is from RNAcentral. Lineage: Eukaryota; Metazoa; Platyhelminthes; Monogenea; Dactylogyridea; Ancylodiscoididae.